Molecule: ribosomal RNA, 497 nt
Filed under: uncultured bacterium
Lineage: Bacteria
Description: partial 16S ribosomal RNA
Rfam family: Bacterial small subunit ribosomal RNA
Source: RNAcentral
GACGAACGCUGGCGGCGUGCCUAAUACAUGCAAGUUGAGCGCUGAAGGUUGGUACUUGUACCGACUGGAUGAGCAGCGAACGGGUGAGUAACGCGUGGGGAAUCUGCCUUUGAGCGGGGGACAACAUUUGGAAACGAAUGCUAAUACCGCAUAAAAACUUUAAACACAAGUUUUAAGUUUGAAAGAUGCAAUUGCAUCACUCAAAGAUGAUCCCGCGUUGUAUUAGCUAGUUGGUGAGGUAAAGGCUCACCAAGGCGAUGAUACAUAGCCGAACUGAGAGGGUGAUCGGCCACAUUGGGACUGAGACACGGCCCAAACUCCUACGGGAGGCAGCAGUAGGGAAUCUUCGGCAAUGGACGAAAGUCUGACCGAGCAACGCCGCGUGAGUGAAGAAGGUUUUCGGAUCGUAAAACUCUGCUGGUAGAGAAGAACGUUGGUGGGAGUGGAAAGCGCAUCAAGUGACGGUAACUACCCAGAAAGGGACGGCUAACUACGUG